RNA transcript from Ailuropoda melanoleuca (giant panda), 3649 nucleotides. It is a transcript of the gene named autophagy related 4B cysteine peptidase, with no coding region annotated. The transcript has 14 exons. Lineage: Eukaryota; Metazoa; Chordata; Mammalia; Carnivora; Ursidae. The record is from RefSeq and is a predicted model, not a curated record.
GCCGCCCGCCCGCAACUGCUUCCGCUACCCCCACGGGUCGCUGUCGGGGUCCCCCGAGCGAACGGUGCCGGCCGCUCGGGAGCCGAGCGCGUGAGCCCAGCCCUCGGCGUUGGGCCCCGCCGUACGCCAAGAUGGCGGACGUGCACUUCCUCCUGCACUUCCGGCCCCGCCCGCGCCCGCUAGGCCUGGAUUGGCCCCGGCAGCGGCCCGUCGCGUCGCGCUGCGGAACCGUCGGAGCGACGCCGCUCUCAGUCGGCGGCCGGAGAGGGAAGAUGGAUGCAGCUACUCUGACCUACGACACUCUUCGAUUUGCUGAAUUUGAAGAUUUCCCGGAGACCUCAGAGCCUGUGUGGAUACUGGGUAGAAAAUACAGCAUUUUCACAGAAAAGGAUGAGAUCUUGUCUGAUGUGGCAUCCAGACUUUGGUUUACAUACAGGAAAAACUUCCCACCCAUUGGGGGCACCGGCCCCACCUCGGACACGGGCUGGGGCUGCAUGCUGCGGUGCGGACAGAUGAUCUUUGCCCAGGCCCUGGUGUGUCGCCAUUUAGGCCGAGAUUGGAGGUGGACGCAGCGGAAGAGGCAGCCGGAUAGCUACUUCAAUGUCCUCAAUGCAUUCAUCGACAGAAAGGACAGUUACUACUCCAUUCACCAGAUAGCACAAAUGGGAGUUGGCGAGGGCAAGUCCAUUGGCCAGUGGUACGGGCCCAACACCGUUGCCCAGGUGCUCAAGAAGCUGGCUGUCUUCGACACCUGGAGCGCCUUGGCAGUCCACAUAGCGAUGGACAACACGGUGGUGAUGGAGGACAUCAGAAGGUUGUGCAGCGGCAGCCUUCCGUGUGCGGGGGCCGCCUCGCUUUCCGCGGAUUCCAGCCGGCACUGUAACGGCUUCCCUGCCGGAGCUGAGGUCACCGAUAGGCCGGCACCCUGGAGACCCCUGGUGCUUCUCAUCCCCCUGCGCCUGGGGCUCACGGACAUCAACGAGGCCUACGUGGAAACACUGAAGCGUUGCUUCAUGAUGCCGCAGUCCCUGGGAGUGAUCGGCGGGAAGCCCAACAGCGCCCACUAUUUCAUCGGCUACGCUGGUGAAGAGCUCAUCUACCUGGACCCCCACACGACGCAGCCGGCGGUGGAGCUCACCGACAGCUGCUUCAUCGCGGACGAGAGCUUCCACUGCCGGCACCCGCCGAGCAGGAUGAGCAUUGGGGAGCUCGACCCGUCCAUUGCCGUGGUGCGUCCCCGCCCAUCCUGCCUCCUCGGACCGUGGGGCCGGCGUUCAGAGCCGGUCCGUGCUCAGUCCUGCUCUUCUAGGAUGGAAGGCCAGGUGUCCGCUUCUAGGAUGUGUUUUCAGUGUAUUGGAGGGUUCUUCUGUAAGACUGAGGACGACUUUGAUGACUGGUGCCAACAAGUCAGACAGCUGUCGCUGCUCGGAGGUGCCCUGCCCAUGUUCGAGCUGGUGGAGCAGCAGCCUUCCCACCUGGCCUGCCCCGACGUCCUAAACGUGUCCUUAGAGACCCGGGACUCAGCGGGAAGGCCGUGAGCACAUCCAGUUCAUGCAGCCAUCGGUCUCUGUGACGCUGAUGGGGCCUGUGUCCCUGUCCCUCCAAGAAGAUCAUGGAGGAUGGUGACUGAGCCCACUGUCAGAAACCAGAAGGGAGUCAGGGUGCCGCAUUGGAGACUCGGGACAGAUGUCCCAUCAGUCCCCAGACGGUACAGGGGGUGCCACCCCCUCGUGGGACGGGAAACCCUGCCCUCCUAGCCCCUGCCCCUUCCUUCUGUGUUCCGCCAAGGAGCGUGUUCUCUUUUCAGACGCGCCUGUGGGAUUCUCUUUCCUGCCCUCCCCUCGCCAGUUGAAGCUCCCGGCCUGCUGAGACCCACAGCCCAGGAGGCCGAUGCCUCAGCGGGGCAGUCCUGGUGUCCCCUUGCCUCCUGCUGCAGCGAGGGCGAGCGGGCCAGAUACAGGGCGUGACUCUUCUGACGUAGAGCGACUGGAAAGAUUCUUCGAUUCAGAAGAUGAAGACUUUGAAAUCUUGUCUCUUUGAAAAUCCUGGAGUUGGGGGACGGUUUCCACUGGCCCUCCCCGGGGGCACCUUCACGAGCCCGGCCCUGUCUCGGGGCGCGUGGCGCCGCCACAUUUCAUCCAUCCAGCCUGCCCGUCCGCUUAACGCCCCUGCCCCGUGCGCCUCUGCCCGCAGACGGAGGACUGCCCUGUCCCGGAGGCCUUCCUGCGAGCCCUGGGACUGCGCAGGCCCGGAGGGCUCAUCGGGCUACCAGGCACAAAUGAAGGGCGGCCCGCGGGAAGGCCCAGGGCAGCCGGGUCAGGAGCUCCUGAGAGCAGAGCCUUUCACACUUCCGAGAGUUCUCCCUGCGACACUGCCAGCCCUGCAUUCGCGCGUCGCCUCUGCCCUGCUUCCUCCUGGGCGCUCGGUUCUGGGUUUGCUUUGGAAUUAAAGUCCUGUUCGAAGUUACAAGGACAUGAAUUUCUGUGGGGCGUGUCCCAAGUCAGUCUUCUCAGAAGAGCUGCAGGGAGGACGCGUGCGGACUCAGCCUGGUCCCUGCCGGCGGCGGCCUCUGCCUGGCCUGCUUAUCAAGGGCUACCUCAGUGGGAGAUCAGGUUGGAAGGAUUCUGGCAAGGGUUCUUCUUGCUUUGGGGAGCAUAGUAAAGUGGUGGGGCGUGGUGGAAAUCCAAAGAUGUCACCAUGUGUGUGACUCACUAGGACAGGGACAUGCCUGCUCUCCCGGAGCUGCAGGUCAAACCCGGGUGGGAUGCGCCUUUCUCAUGCCUCCUUUGCGGGUCCCGGCAUUCAAGACGCCCUGCGUGCUGCUGCUUGCUUGUCGCGCCAGCUUCUCUUGGGUCCGGGUCCGGGUUGGGUGAGGGGAGGGGCUGCCCUGUGGCCCUGGGGCCUGGCGGGUGGUGUGGGGAGCGCAGCAUGCUGCCAUCCGGGGCCUUCCUCCCGGUCACCAAGGCUUUAAGAUGGUUUGGGGCCAGAGGGUAAAGCCCACAGCUUUACGGUGCAAGCCCGGUGCCCCAUCCCUCUGUACCAGUUGGAGAUGUUUCCGGACCCUUCUCAGCACUAAUGUCAGCACCUGCGGCCUUUAGCCCGCGUACUCUGGGCUCAAACUGCACCACUCCUACUCGGUUUUGCCGUCCGUCCUGGAAGACUGGCUUCUGUCCCACCGAAGUGUAAAAGGGCUCUGGGGGGCUCGGGUGGAGGUGACGGCCUUUCCCAGAGCGCCUCCACACACAGCCACCUCCGAGUCCUUGCUUGUGCGGGCGGGCAGGGCUGGAGCACGCAUCACGUCCUGCCGGCCCGCGUGUUGCCCACUAAGUGAUUUUCUUUUUUUCUUCUGUUUCCUGCGCCCCGUCCACGAGGUAGCGUUGGGGGAGCAGGGAAGGUUGGCUGGUUUCCACUCCUCCAGCACUGCGUUUCUCUGAACGAACAAUGUGCCGCCGCGCCGUGGGCUGGGGGCCGGGGGGUGUUGGGGCAGCCCCUGCUGCUGGUACGACCGGGGACUUGGGCGGCGGCCUGACCCACGGGGACCUUUGUUUCAUGUGUUCUGAAAAAGGCUUACUGAAGAGAAUAUUGUUCAUUCUUCGUAGUGUAGUUUGCAAUUCUUAAUGGCAAAUAAUAACAGUUUCAGUAGAAAACA